Molecule: ribosomal RNA, 474 nt
Filed under: uncultured bacterium
Lineage: Bacteria
Description: bacterial SSU rRNA
Rfam family: Bacterial small subunit ribosomal RNA
Source: RNAcentral
AUGAACGCUAGCGGCAGGCUUAACACAUGCAAGUCGAGGGGUAGUAUAGCAAUAUAUGAGACCGGCGCACGGGUGCGUAACGCGUAUGCAAUCUGCCUUCCACAAAGGAAUAGCCCAGAGAAAUUUGGAUUAAUGCCUUAUAGCAUUACAGGAUGGCAUCAUCCAGUAAUUAAAGAUUCAUCGGUGGAAGAUGAGCAUGCGUCCCAUUAGCUAGUUGGUAGGGUAACGGCCUACCAAGGCGAUGAUGGGUAGGGGUCCUGAGAGGGAGAUCCCCCACACUGGUACUGAGACACGGACCAGACUCCUACGGGAGGCAGCAGUGAGGAAUAUUGGUCAAUGGGCGCAAGCCUGAACCAGCCAUGCCGCGUGCAGGAUGAAGCAUCUAUGGUGUGUAAACUGCUUUUAUACAGGAAGAAACAACUCUACGUGUAGAGUCUUGACGGUACUGUAGGAAUAAGGAUCGGCUAACUCCGU